This 73-nucleotide transfer RNA is filed under the name Gemmatimonadota bacterium. RNAcentral describes it as "Gemmatimonadetes bacterium tRNA-Val". It matches the Rfam family "tRNA". Rfam says of the family: Transfer RNA (tRNA) molecules are approximately 80 nucleotides in length. Their secondary structure includes four short double-helical elements and three loops (D, anti-codon, and T loops). Further hydrogen bonds mediate the characteristic L-shaped molecular structure. tRNAs have two regions of fundamental functional importance: the anti-codon, which is responsible for specific mRNA codon recognition, and the 3' end, to which the tRNAs corresponding amino acid is attached (by aminoacyl-tRNA synthetases). tRNAs cope with the degeneracy of the genetic code in two manners: having more than one tRNA (with a specific anti-codon) for a particular amino acid; and 'wobble' base-pairing, i.e. permitting non-standard base-pairing at the 3rd anti-codon position. RNAcentral also lists the same sequence under 1 other name. The record is from RNAcentral. Lineage: Bacteria; Pseudomonadati; Gemmatimonadota.
UGCCGCGUAGCUCAGUUGGUAGAGCGCAUCCUCGACACGGAUGAGGCCGGAGGAUCGAGGCCUGCCGCGGCAA